Molecule: ribosomal RNA, 305 nt
Filed under: uncultured bacterium
Lineage: Bacteria
Description: bacterial SSU rRNA
Rfam family: Bacterial small subunit ribosomal RNA
Source: RNAcentral
UGGGACCUACGGGGGGCAGCAGUGAGGAAUAUUAGUCAAUGGUCGGGAGACUGAACCAGCCAAGCCGCGUGAGGGAUGAAGGUACAGAGUAUCGUAAACCCCUUUUGUCAGGGAACAAAGGCGGGGACGCGUCCCCGGAUGAGUGUACCUGAAGAAAAAGCAUCGGCUAACUCCGUGCCAGCAGCCGCGGUAAUACGGAGGAUGCGAGCGUUAUCCGGAUUUAUUGGGUUUAAAGGGGGCGCAGGCGGUCUGUUAAGUCAGCGGUCAAAGCCCGGGGCUCAACCCCGGCCCGCCGCUGGAACUGG